UAAGCUAUUAAUUAAUAAAAAUCCAUAACAUGAGUCUAAAUAACAAGCGUGGAAAACAACACAAGCCCGACAUUGAGGUGUCACAAGUCACGAGUAUCUACUAAGGUCUGUCUAAAUACAAUAAAGACUAUCAUAGUCUGGAAAUAAAAUACUAAAAACAUUAUAAGGGAGAUAAGAGGGAGUUGAGCAAAGCUGGAAAAGCCAUGCAGCUACCUUGCUGACUCUGGCUAUCCGCGAUGGAUGAUGGAUCAGUGCUUGCUAUCAUGUCCCUAAACUCCUGGAUUUGCACACAAGGUGCAUGAAGUAAUGUGAGUACGACAACUCAGUAAGUGAUAAAAGUAAAUAAAAACUAAGCAGUAAGAAAACACAUAAAUCCACGUUAUAGCACCACAGUAAGUACAAUACAUUUCCAAAUCAGUGUAGGAAAAAACUAUCUUGUAAUAAUCCAAUAUCAGUAAAAUUCCUUUGAAAAAUGUCUUUUUAACAGUUUCAAUAGAGAUUCAAAGAAGUUUAGAAUAAAUAAUAAAACCAUAAAUAGCCCAUCGUGCGAGACAUGUAUCAUAAACCGUCCCUCGGGCAUAAUAUCAACAAAACCAGCCCUUCGGGCGACCUCACAAUCACUCAUAAUCCGCCCCUUGGGCAUAGCAUGAAUCAAGAAUAGCCACUAGGGCAACAUCAUAUCACUCACUCUGGGUACCCGUUCUUACCUUUAAAGACUCCGGAGGGGCUCCUACAGGCCAAGCGCUGUCACAAGCCAUCUUGUGGCAUAAUAAAUCAGGCUCUCAUCCUCUCAUAUAUCACAAAAUAGUACAACAUGUUGUGGUGAGCAAUCCGGUCCUAUGAUAUCCUCACAACACAGGCCCUCAGCGUUACUUAGUCACAAACCUUCCAAACCACUUAGGCUAACAGUAAAAUAGGGUGUUCAGCCCAAAAUAACAUUUAUACAACAAAUCAGAGUAAAUAAGGUUGAGCUAUGAAAUCAGUAAAAUAUGGCAUGACUGAGUAUAGAUAUUAAAUCAAAACAGUGAGGAAUAUUAGUAAAGAAAGCCCUUAAGGGUCUAAACAGUUGGCAUGAGGCCCAACUAUGGCAUUCAACCCAAAACAUAGUAAUACUAUCUAACAUAUAAUAGUAUCAAGUAGUUUUAGUCAAAUAUGCAACUUAAUAGCUAGGGGACGGACCAAGUCACAAUCCCAACGGUGCAUGCCCUCACGCUCGUCAUCUAGCAUGUGCGUCGCCUCAAAAUAGUGAGACGAAAUGAAUUCCGAGGUUUCAUACCCUCAGAACAACAUUUACAAUCAUUACUUACCUCGAACUAGAUGAAAAUCUACUCCACAAUGCCCUUGACUCUCUAUUUGGCCUCAAAUUGCCCCGAAUCUAUCCAAAAUCAGAAUCAUAUCAUCAAUACAUGGCAAAGGAACAAAGCCCACGCGAAAAUUAUCAAAUUUAAUAAAAAUUCCAGAAAGUGGCCAAACCCGGCUCCCGGGCCCAUGUCUUGGAAUUCGAUAAAAAUCACAACACUAGAAUCCUUAUCCCAUUACGAGUCUAUACAUACAAAAAUCACCAAAAUCGGACCUCAAUCCCAAUUUAAACUCUCCAAUUUCAAGCCCUAAUUCCACAAUUUCAUCCCUAAUGUUUCCAUAAAUUCCAUGAUUAAACAACGGGAAAUCAUCACACAUAUAAGUUUUAAGUCUCAAGUUACUCACCUUGAUGUUAAACCUUGAAUCCCUUCUCAAUUUCGCCCUCAAAAGCUUCAAAGCUGUCCAAAAAUGGUGAGAAAUAAGCUUAAAAUCACAAAGAUGGCCUUAUACUUUCUGCCCAGCGAUUCCCGCAUUUGCGCCCAAAAUUUGAACCUACGAAUUUCACUUAAGGAUUUAGAUGUCAUAACUGCGCCCCAAGCCUUGCACAUGCGGGCUCGCAGAUGCAGUCCAACCCUCCACUUCUGCGACCAAUGCUGCUUCUGCAAUCUCCUUUCCACUUCUGCGGCUCGCAUCUGCGGUCCCUAAUCCGCAGGUGUGGUUAUGACAAAAAACAACAUCUUCAGAUGCAACUCUAAUUUUUCCAACUUUUCGAUAAACUUUCGAAAUCAUCCCGAGGCACUCAGAACCUCAACUAAACCUACCAACAAGUUAUAUAUCAACAUUAAAACUUAUACCAACCUUCGGAACACUCAAAGUAACAUCGAAACACCAAAUCACCCUCAGAUUCAAGACUAAGGAUUUCAAAACUUCCGAAUUCCGCAAACGAUGUAAAAACCUAUCAAACCUCAUCUGAAUGACCUAAAGUUUUGCACACACAUCACAAAUGACAUAGCGGACCUACUCCAAUUUUCAAAAUUCCAUUUCAACCCCAAUAUCAAGAUUUCCACUGCUGACCGAAAAAUGCCAAAUUUCCAAUUUCGUCAAUUCAAGUCUAAAUCUACCAAGGACCUCCAGAAUACAUCCCGAACACAAUUAUAAGUCCAAAAUCACCUAACGAAGCUAUUCAAACCAUUUGAAUUCACAUCCGAGACCUUAUACUUAUAAGUCAACAUCCGGUUGACUUUUUCCAACUUAAGCUUAUAAAUAAGAGACUAAGUGUCUCAUUCCACUCCAAACCCAAACCAACCAACAUGAUACGAUAAAAUUCCGCUGAACAAUGCAUAAAGAGGCAGAAAUGGGGGAAAGUGGGGCUGUAACUCAUGAAACAACCGGUCGGGUCGUUACUCCUCCCCCUUUUAAACAAACGUUCAUCCUCGAACAAGUCAAAAAACAUACCUGAAGCCUCAAAUAGGUGUAGAUAUUUGCUCUACAUCUCCUGCUCGGUAUCCCAAGUAGACUCCUCUACGGGCCGACCUCUCACUGCACUUUCACUGAAGCUAUCUCCUUUGAUCUCAACUUUCAUACCUGCCACCCUAAAAUACCCAGUAGCUCCAUAUUAUAAGUAAAAUCACUGUCUAACUGAACCAUGCUGAAAUCCAACAUGAGAUGGAUCACCAAUGUACUUCUGGAGCAUAGAAACAUGAAAUACCGGAUGCACACUCGACAAACUAGGUGGCAAAGCAACCUCAUAAUCAACCUCCCCAAUCCUCUGAAGCACCUUAAAAGGCCCAAUGAACUGAUGACUUAAUUUGCCUUUCUUCUCAAAUCUCAUAAUACCCUUCAUGGGUGAAGCUUUCAGUAGAACCUUCCCCCAACCAUGUAAGACACUUCACCAACCUUCCUGUUAGCAUAACUCUUUUGUCUUGACUGUGCUAUACGAAGUCGCUCCUGAAUCGCUUUCACCUUGUGUCUAACGCAUUCUACACCAAGUUUGAACCCAAGAGCCUGGCUUCGCCCAACUCAAACCAACCUAUUGGAGAUCUACACCAUCUCCCAUAUAAAGCCCCAUAUGUAGCCAUUUGAAUACUAGACUGAUGACUGUUAUUAUAUGAAAACUCCGUGAGCAGUAGAAACUAAUCCCGUGAACCCCUAAAAUCAAUUACACAAGCAUGAAACAUGCCCUCUAAUAUCUGAAUAGUGUGGUUGGACUGUCCGUAUGUCUGACGAUGAAAAGCUAUGCUCAACUCAACCUGAGUACCCAACUCUCGCUGCACGGCUCACUCAAACUGCAACGUGAACUGAGUACCUCUAUUUGAAAUGAUGGAAUUGGAAACCCAUGCAGGAGAACAAUCUCUCGGAUAUAAAUCUCAGCUAACCGCUCUAAAGAAUAGGUAGUACACAUCGGAAUGAAGUGCACAGACUUGGUCAAUCAAUCCACAAUCACCCAAAUAGCUUCGAACUUCUUCAAAUUUUGUGGGAAUCCAACUAUAAAAUCUAUGGUGAUCCGCUCCCACUUCCACUCUGGAAUAUCCAUUUUCUAAAAUAAGACACCCGAUCUCUGAUGAUUAUAUUUCACCUACUGACAAUUGAGGCACCGAGCUACAAAUCCCAUUAUAUCUUUCUUCAUUCUCCUCCACCAAUAGUGUUGUCUCAAAUCCUGAUACAUCUUUGCGGCACCCGAAUGGAUAGAAUAUCGCGAGCUAUGGGCCUCGAACAGAAUCAACUCCCAAAGCCCAUAUACAUUGGGCACACAUAUCCGUCCUUGCAUCCUCAAUACCCCAUCAUUACCAAUAGUCACAUCUUUGGCAUCAUUGUGUUGAACUCUGUCCUUAAGGAUAAGCAAAUGAGGAUCAUCAAAUUGGCGCUCUCUGAUGCGAUCAAACAAGGAAGAUCGAGAAACUGUACAAGAUAAGAUCCGUUUGGACUCCAAAAUAUCCAAUCUCAUGAACCGAUUGGCUAAGUCCUGAACAUCAAUUGCAAGAGGACUCUCCCAACCAGGAAUAUAUGCCAAACUUCCCAUAUUCACCACAUUUCUACUCAAGGCAUCGCUAUUACAUUGGUCUUCCCUAGAUGGUACAAGAUAGUGAUAUCAUAAUCCUUUAGCAGCUCCAACCAUCUCCCUUGCCUCAAGUUGAGAUCCUUCUUCUUGAACAGGUGUUGGAGGAUACGAUGAUUAGUAAACACCUCACAAGACACACCAUAUAGAUAAUGCCUCCAAAUUUCAAUGUGUGAACAAUGGCAGCCAACUUCAAAUCAUGAACGUGGUAGUUCUUCUCAUGCUGCUUUAACUGACAUCGAAAUAUGCAAUUACUCUACCCUUUUGCAUCAACACAUACCUAAUACCAACCCUCGAAGCAUCCAAUACACUAUAUAUGAACCUGAAGCUGAUGGCAAAACUAACAUUAGAGUUGUGGUCAAGGCAGUCUUGAGCUGCUGAAAGCUUGCCUCAACUCAUCCGACCACCUAAAUGGAGCACCUUUUGGGUCAAUUUGGCCAAGGGUAAUGCAAUAGAUGAAAAUCCUUGAAUGAACCGAUGGUAAUAACCUGCCAAACUAAGAAAGUUGCGAAUCUCUGUGGCUGCAGAUGACCUGGGCCAACUCUGAACAACCUCUAUCUUCUUCAGAUCAACCUGAAUACCCUCAUUGGACACCACAUGACCCAAGACAGCCACUGAGCUAAGACAAAACUCACACUUGGAGAAUUUUGCAUAAAGUUUCUUAUUCCUCAACCGCUGCAAUACAACUCUUAAAUGCUUAGCGUGCUUCUCCUAACUAUGUGAAUACACCAAAAUAUCAUCAAUGAAUACAAUAAUGAACGAGUCGGGAUAAGGCCGAAACACGUUGUUCAUCAAAUACAUGAACGCUACUAGGGAAUUGGUCAUCCCAAAAGAUAUCACAAGGAGCUCAUAAUGACCAUAUCAUGUCCUGAAAGGUGUCUUACGAAUAUCUGAUUCCAUGAUCUUCAACUAGUGAUACCCUGACCUGAGAUCAAUCUUGGAGAACACCCUCACUCCUUGAAGCUGGUCAAAUACGUCACCAAUACGAGGCGAAUAAUACUUGUUAUUGAUUGUGACUUUGUUCAAUUGCCUGUAAUCAAUGCACAUCCUCAGCAUUCCAUCCUUCUUCCUCACGAACAGAAUUGCUGCACCCCAAAGCGACAUACUUGGCCGAAUAAAUCCCUUAUCAAGGAGUUCCUGAAGCUUCUCCUUCAACUCCUUCACCUCUAUUAGUGCCAUACGAUACAGUAGAAUAGAAAUGGGAUGAGUGCCCGACACCAAAUCAAUACCAGACAAUAUACCUAUCCGGUGGCAUGCCCGAUAGGUCUGCAGGAAACACAUCUAGAAAAUACCUCACUGUCGGGACUAGUAGGAGUCUCUGCACUAACAUCCCCCAUGAAGGCCAAAUAAGAUAGACAACCCUUCCUAGCCAACCGCUGAUCUUUCAAAAAUGAAAUCACCCUACUGGGAAUAAAAUCGGUGGAGCCUCGCCACUCAAUUCGUGGCACACCUAGCAUAGCCAACGUCACUGUCUUAACAUGACAAUCCAAAAUAGCACGACAAGGAGAUAACUAAUCCAUGCCCAAUAUUACAUCAAAAUCAUUUAUACAAAGCAACAGAAGGUCCACCCGAGUCUCCAAACUCCCAAUAAUCGCCAUACACGACCGAUAUACAUAGUCCAAAAUAAUAGUAUCGCCCACCGAAGUGGAUAUACAACCAAAUGAAAAAAUAGACUCACGGGCGUAUCCAAAUAGUAAGAAAAAUAUGAUGACAUAUAUAUAUAUAUAUAUCAAAAUAUCCAAUCUCAUGAACCGAUUGGCUAAGUCCUGAACAUCAAUUGCAAGAGGACUCUCCCAACCAGGAAUAUAUGCCAAACUUCCCAUAUUCACCACAUUUCUACUCAAGGCAUCGCUAUUACAUUGGUCUUCCCUAGAUGGUACAAGAUAGUGAUAUCAUAAUCCUUUAGCAGCUCCAACCAUCUCCCUUGCCUCAAGUUGAGAUCCUUCUUCUUGAACAGGUGUUGGAGGAUACGAUGAUUAGUAAACACCUCACAAGACACACCAUAUAGAUAAUGCCUCCAAAUUUCAAUGUGUGAACAAUGGCAGCCAACUUCAAAUCAUGAACGUGGUAGUUCUUCUCAUGCUGCUUUAACUGACAUCGAAAUAUGCAAUUACUCUACCCUUUUGCAUCAACACAUACCUAAUACCAACCCUCGAAGCAUCCAAUACACUAUAUAUGAACCUGAAGCUGAUGGCAAAACUAACAUUAGAGUUGUGGUCAAGGCAGUCUUGAGCUGCUGAAAGCUUGCCUCAACUCAUCCGACCACCUAAAUGGAGCACCUUUUGGGUCAAUUUGGCCAAGGGUAAUGCAAUAGAUGAAAAUCCUUGAAUGAACCGAUGGUAAUAACCUGCCAAAUAACAUCUAUUCUAGCUAGGAGUGCAUAAAAAUAGGCCUGACCACCACCUGAUGGAACUUCCUCUCUGGGGCGACCCCUAGAUCACUAGGUGGGUGGUGAAGUAACUGGUGCUGAAGUCGAUGACUGACCCCUCUGCUAAGGCGGACCUCCAUGAAGAUGAGGACGCUACCUCCAUAUAUUUCCCCAACUCUCCACACUCAUAACAACCCGUUAGUGUUGGAUACAGGGACUGAAGGGAACCCCUAGCAUUGGGAUGACAAGCAGAAGAACCUGGCAUGGAAGAGCCCUGAACUGAUGGAGCAGGGGACGAACUCUGGGCUGGAAGAGAACUAAGUGAUGAAUGGACCUGAUAAAAAAUGUGAGAACCAUGUCCCGAUAAUGCCCCACAAUAAACUGGGCAAGCUGAAUGAGCAUGUUUGAAUGGACGACCUAUGUCGUGCUGAACCUGACCCCCAUGAGGAGCACCACUGAAUCCACCCUGGCCAAGAGGCCUAUUGGCCUCCCAUCAACCCUCUCCUAACCAUAAACCAUCUCAAUCUGUCGAGCUAUGUCAACAACCUCAUCAAAAGUGGUACCAAAUACCCCUCUCUCUGGUUAUUGCCACACCUCCUUUUUCCUACACCCUUGGAAGGGGAGAUAAAAGAGUUUUUUCCAACUUAAAGUGACAAUCGAAACAAGAUUAUUGUUAUUUAAAAUUUAGAGUUGCCACUUGGGAUAAUUUAUGGUGUCCCAAGUCACCGGUUUAAAUCCCCAAUCAAGAAAAGAUUGACUCUGGUUUACAGUCCGCGAACACAGAAAUCCAGGUAAGGAAUUCUAUUAACCCGGGAGAAGGUGUUAGGCAUUCCCGAUUUCGUGGUUCUAGCAUGGUCGCUCAACUGUUAUAUUUGGCUUAAUUUUCUUGAUUUUAAUACAUUUUAAACCUGUGUACAAUUUUUAAUUUUAUAACCGAUCUUAUUUAUUUUAAGGAAGAUUGCAACGUUAUUUAAAAUAAGUCUUGAACUAUGGCAUAUAAAUGCACCCGUGGUCCCUGAUAUAUUUUAUCUAAUGUUCCUGAGAUUUGGAUUUGGUAACAUAAAUGCGCACUCAAGUUUAGGAAGGUGAAUUGUUUAACUAAUGUCACACCUCCUUUUUUACACGGCUACCCAAAGGAUGACAUAUAUAAGGGAGUUUUUCCAAUUAAAGCGACAUUAUACUAAUUGAAAUUAAUUAUUAAUUUUUAUUUAGAGUCGCCACUUGGGAUUGUUUAUUUGGUGUCUCAAGUCACCGGUUUAUUAUAAAUCCCAAAUUGAGGAAAAUUCGAUUUUCCUUUUGAAGUCUGUGAACCAGAAAUUCUAGAUAACGAAUUCUAUUAACCCGAGGGAAGGUGUUAGGCACCCCCCGGAUUCCGUGGUUCUAGCACGAUCGCUUAAACUAUCAUAUUUGACUAAUUAUCUGAUUUUUAUACAUGUUCAUCCUAUGAGCAUUUCUAAUAUUAUUUACCGCUUUAUUCGUUUUUAGAGAUAUUUGCAAUGUUAUUAAAACACGGUUCAAACCACGUCACAUAAAUGUACCCGGGUUCUCGAAAUAUUUUAAUAUCGCUUUGGAUUUGGGUCACAUAAAUGUGCACCCGAAUUUAGGAAAGCAGCAUUAGUAAAAUACGCGUCUAAAGCAACUAGCGCAUUGUUAACUUUGCAAAGCCCUUGAAGUUCGCUAAAUGGUACCCCUCAAAUUCUAAGGGUUACAAUUAAUCAAGUGAGGGCCAUGGGCUCAAGGGUUCUAUUUGACAUGGCACGAAAUUAUUACUCAGAGACUAAGAGUAAAGCAAUAUUGUACUAUUUUUUAGUUUCACAAUUUGCUCAUUUUGUCCAUAAAGUAACCGUAGAGAACUUCACAAUCUGAAGAACGAAUACUACAAAUUUAAUUACAACAUGGAUUUUAUAUUUUGACCAGGUUGUACUAAGACAUGGACUUAAAGCAGUGGAAUAAGAAUUGACUAGGAAAAAAAAUCUAACCAAACAAAUACUUCUUUAAGAAAGCUUUGAAUUAUCCAACCAAAAAAUAAGGCUUAGGAGUCCAAACUUACUUGUUGUGGAGCGUUAUAGCCCACUGGAACUGCAAAUACUUCAUUUUAAGAGGAAUAUCCACACACAGCUAUUGAGUAAAAUAGAAGAUCAAAGGAUAAAAAGUUACCAGUAUUGUGACUAUACACGAUCAAUUGAGCAAAUCACUCAUGCUCUGAUGCUCAUACCCUUUUGCAUCAGUUAAACCCCACAACCCAGUACAAUUAUAGCUUUUAACACUUUUUACUAUUUGACAUUCAAUUAAAGGUUCUAAUUCAAACAGAUCUGAAACAAACAAAUUGCAAAUCAUCCACAAAAUACCAAUUAAAGCAUGAACUGCAAGCACAACACAACUAACAGAUGUGAAAAAAAAAUUCUAAAAUAAAGAAAGAGGCAAGAAUGGACCUCAAGGACAAUGUGUUGUAUUUUCUGAAACAAUGUUGCUUCCUACGGACAAAAACCAAAAUCCAAUAUAUUGCAGAAUGAACAACAACUGACAUGAUACUCGAACUACCAAACCAGAACUUGAACGAGAUACCAGCUGACCAGCAAGCUCGAAACCAAAGCGAUCUCCAUCAAACAUCAGUUAGAUUCCAUGGUUUCUGACAUCAAAAAUCAUAAGAAGGAACCAAACUUUAAACAAUAACAACUGAUGAAGUGAAGUCGCCGCCCAAAGCUAUGGAUGAAGCGAUGAGAGCGAGGGUGUACAACUGUUCUCGGCAAGUUUGGGUUGUCGCUGGGUGGUUGGAGAAGGGAUAGUAGCUCUAUGGAUUUAAAAUCGUUGGGUUACUUUUCAACUCCAAUUAUUGCCUCAUCUCUCUUUUUACGGCGGCUAGAUUUUCAAGUUUAUUUUUGUAAUCACUCUAUGAUAUCCUUUUUUUUCUCUACUGAGCCGAGGGUCGAUUGGAAACAGCCUCUCUGUCCGUUCGGGCAGGGGUAAGGCUCGUCUACAUAUUACCCUCCGCUAACCCCACCUGACGGGACUAUACUGGGUAGUUGUUGUUGUUGUUGUCUAUGAUCUCCUUUUUGUUGCUCCAAGUCGGGGGUAGGCGUUUUGUUGAAGAAGAAGAAGAGCGGUGGUUUUUUUACGCGUGAGUCUGUAGCAGGCGUCCUCUCUAGUGAGAAGCUGCGCAGCUGAAGCUUUUCAACGUUUUCCCCCUUUGCUUUGUAUUUUUAUUUUUGUCUUAUAUAGUUUAGGUUUUGUUUGUUUGUUUUUUAAUUAGGGUAAGGGCAAUGGAAUGGGCUUGGGUUAUAUGGACUUGGGUAGAAAGACUAUGGUUUGAGCUUGUUUUGGUUUUAAAAUGCCCAAUUGCUUAAAUUAAAAUCCUAUUUGCAAUUUAAUCCUAAUUAUUUUUUCUUUUCUAUUUAUUUAUUUUUUUAAACAAUCAUAGAAAUUAAAAUUUUAAUUAAUAUUUUCCUUUAGAAGCUAAAAUUCUUUAUGUAUAUAUAUAUAUAUAUAUAUAUAUAUAUAUUUUAAGCUUAACUGUCGAUUUGUAUUGAUAUCAAAAAAUAUACAAUGUAAUCCUAAGGUAGUAGUAUGGACUUCUACUACUCAUUUACACUUUCAUUCUAGUUACACUUGAAUNNNNNNNNNNNNNNNNNNNNNNNNNNNNNNNNNNNNNNNNNNNNNNNNNNNNNNNNNNNNNNNNNNNNNNNNNNNNNNNNNNNNNNNNNNNNNNNNNNNNNNNNNNNNNNNNNNNNNNNNNNNNNNNNNNNNNNNNNNNNNNNNNNNNNNNNNNNNNNNNNNNNNNNNNNNNNNNNNNNNNNNNNNNNNNNNNNNNNNNNNNNNNNNNNNNNNNNNNNNNNNNNNNNNNNNNNNNNNNNNNNNNNNNNNNNNNNNNNNNNNNNNNNNNNNNNNNNNNNNNNNNNNNNNNNNNNNNNNNNNNNNNNNNNNNNNNNNNNNNNNNNNNNNNNNNNNNNNNNNNNNNNNNNNNNNNNNNNNNNNNNNNNNNNNNNNNNNNNNNNNNNNNNNNNNNNNNNNNNNNNNNNNNNNNNNNNNNNNNNNNNNNNNNNNNNNNNNNNNNNNNNNNNNNNNNNNNNNNNNNNNNNNNNNNNNNNNNNNNNNNNNNNNNNNNNNNNNNNNNNNNNNNNNNNNNNNNNNNNNNNNNNNNNNNNNNNNNNNNNNNNNNNNNNNNNNNNNNNNNNNNNNNNNNNNNNNNNNNNNNNNNNNNNNNNNNNNNNNNNNNNNNNNNNNNNNNNNNNNNNNNNNNNNNNNNNNNNNNNNNNNNNNNNNNNNNNNNNNNNNNNNNNNNNNNNNNNNNNNNNNNACAGUGAAUCGAUGUCUAGGUAGAGCAGAUGACACAAGCAUUACAUUCCUCCAUACAAUCUUAGGAAAUAUAGGCAACAGUGCAAUAUAGAGUUUUUAACAACUACAUAACUUCAAACUAAAGAAAAAUGCUAAUUUUAAAGACUAAAAGACAAAUACGUAAAAAUGACCAUUUUAAGGUUUUUUUUUUUAUGAUUUAAAAAUAUUAAAAACACAUGCAAUGCAAAUAAACAAAGAAAAAUUCCUAAAAUUAAUAAAAAUUAAUUUUUGGUCUAUUUUUUAGGAGUUAUUCUUAUGUAGGGCAAAAAUCAUGUGCUCACAGCAGCCCCUCUUUGCUCGGAAACACGAAUAGUUUUCGUGCAAAGAUAAAGUGAGCAUAUACGAGCAAUUGUUUGCCCGUUUGAAACUUCAUGAGAAGUAUUUUUAAAAGAUUUGACCGCACUCUGCUUCUGAGGUUGCCUACAUAUCCUUGGUUAUAAAGGAAUCAGGUCAGUGUAGUUUGGGAAGUGAGGUGAUGGAGUACUGAGGUUGAGAUCGGUCGAGGUGCCAUCGAGGUUCCGGUCCGCGGUCCCGUUUAUUGCAUCAAAAUCUAAAUUAAAAAGACUAACUAAGCCUAUAAGCUACGAGUUACAAGAUUCCUAUCUAUAAAUCUUUUGAAACUUGAUCUUGAGUCUUGGCUAGGUCUUGUUGCAGACUCUAAUCUAAAUCUUAAUGCUUGUCAGCUGCAUAUGCUGGUUCUUUCUUCAGCAUUUGGAUCAAAGAGGGACAUGCGAAACUUUUGACUUUGAAUCAAAUUUGAGCAGUCUGCAUUUUCUUCUUCGAACAUCCUGAGUUCGGUUCUUUUUGCUCUUUUGUUAUUUUCCUUUAUUCUGUAUUGAGACUCACGCUUCUGGUCAUCUCGAACCCUGUGCCAUGAGGUAAAACCUGCUCAGACACCAAAAAUAAACAAACGAACGAAAUUUUAUGCCCCAAUUUUUACUAGGAAAAUUUCGUGAGUUAUUUGUAACACAAAUCUAAGCUAUUUCUUUAUUGAAAAAAAUAAAAAUCGGGAUUCUAUAUCCUUUGGAAAGAUUGCCAGGUUAUGUUGGGAAGGAGAAAAGGUCCCUGCUGGGGGUAAGAGGAGCAUCCAUGGGUUAUGCCGGGAUGGGAAUGAAGGGUCCCUACUGGGGAUGAAAGGAAAAAGACACGGGUUAUGUCGGGAUGAAAUGAAAAAAGAUUCCUAGGUUCUGCUAGGGAGAUCCGCGGGUUAUGCCGGGAUGAAUGAAAAAAGUUUCUGGGUUAUGCCAGGGGUCCAUGGGUUAUGCCGGGAGAAGAAGGCUCCUCGGUUAUGCUAAGGGGAUCUGCGAGUUAUGCCGGGAUAGGAAGAAAAAUGGUCUACUAAGGAUAAAAAAAAAAUGAUCCUUGGGUUAUGCCAAGGGGAAGAAAAUAAAAAUACACUCAGGUUAUGCUGGAGAUAAAUGGAAAAUAACCCUCAGGUUAUGCCGUACGGGAAAGAAAAGACCCUCAGGUUAUGCUGGGAGGAAAAGAAAAGACCCUCGGAUGCUAGGGAGAAAAAGGAAAGAUGAUCCUCGGGUUAUGCCGAGGAGGUCCACGGGUUAUACCGGGAUAAAAGGGAAAAGGUCCUAUGCUACCAUGAUUUUGGGUUUUUUUUGAAUUAUCCUAGGGGAAAAUUCGUCAGACUAGGUUUUCUAUCUUAGGAGAAAAAAUUCAUCAGACAAAGAUUUUGACCCUAGGAGAAAGUUCAUCAGACUAGGUCUUUCUUUCUUCUUUUGUUUUUGGUAUCUUAGGAGAAAGAUUUAUCAGACUAAGAUUCUGACCCUAGGAGAAAGUUCAUCAGACUAGGUCUUCUAUCUUAGGACAAAUAUUCAUCAGACUAAGAUUUUGGUCUUAGGAGAAAGUUCAUCAGACUAGGUCACUUUUUUUAUAUAUCUUAGGAGAAAGAUUUAUCAGACUAAAAUUUUGAUCCUAGGAGAAAGAUUCAUCAGACUAGGUCUUCUAUCUUAGGAGAAAAAUUCACUAGACUAAGAUUUUGAUCCUAGGAGAAAGCUCAUCAGACUAGGUCUUCUAUCUUAGGAGAAAAAUUCAUCUGACUAAGAUAUUGAUCCUAGGAGAAUGUUCAUCAGACGAGGUCACUCUUUUGGUAUCAUAGCAGAAAGAUUCAUCAGACUAAGAUUUUGAUCUUAGGAGAAAGUUCAUCAGACUAGGUCUUCUAUCUUAGGAGAAAAAUUCAUUAGACUAAAAUUUUGAUCCUAGGAGAAAGCUCAUCAGACUAGGUCUUCUAUCUUAGGAGAAAAAUUUAUCAGACUAAAAUUUUGAUCAUAGGAGAAUGUUCAUCAAACUAGGUCACUCUUUUGGUAUUUUGGGAGAAAGAUUCAUCAGACUAACAUUUUGAUCCUAGGAGAAAGUUCAUCAGACUAGGUCUUCUAUCUUAGGAUAAAAUUCAUCAGACUAAGAUUUUGAUCCUAGAAGAAAGUUCAUCAGGCUACGUCAUUUUCGGUAUCUUAGAGAAAGAUUCGUCAGACUAAGAUUUUGAAUGGGAGAAAAAUCCAUCAGACUAGGACUUUUUAUCCUAGGAGAAAAAAUAAUGUGAAGAUCAAUGGCAAGAUUUUAUGCCCAUGCAGACAAAUAUAUACCAAGAAUUGAGAAACUUACCUUUGUCGGCUCUACUCUUCUUGUUUUUUUCUUCUCUUUUUUGUUGUUUUUGUUCGUUUUGUUUUUUAUCUUUCUUUCUUCUUUGUUUGUGAACCACUUUCCUUGCGCUGCUUUGUUGCUGCUGCAAACAAAGAACACUUUGUCAGUUUUGAAAAUGGUGGUCGGUUUGUGGCCUUGAGUCUUGAGCAGCUUGGCUUUUGCUUGAUCAGCCUGAGUCGGUCUUAAAAGACCUUUGUUCUACACCAACUCUGAUUGUUUCGCACCCAGUACCAUUUUGUAUUUGAGGCUCAAUCAACCCUGUCGCGAUUGGAGAUCUUAGCUCAGGUGACCUUUUCUGAUAUCUUCAAAAACUUUCUGCUUUUUGAGCAAUUUGUCUGUUAGAGAGAAUCACAAGUUAUCUUUGCUUGCGCCAAGCAGGCUGACAAGAGUCUUUUUGGAAAGCCUUUUCAAAAAUCCUCAAGGUAUGUUGACAGUAACAACUGAGUGCGCUGGCAAAAUUUAAUUUGUGCAACUGAAAAGAUGGUAGCAGAUUUUGAAAUCAUUUCUUGCUCAUUUUGACAAGGGUGGACUUAAAGUGAAGGACACAAUUAUGAAAAGAAACGAAUAUUAAAAAGAAAUUCCCCCUGUCGUCUUUUGAGGAAGCCCUUGCAUGAACCCUCAAGGCAUGCUGACAAUAACAACUGAGUAGUUGGCCAAAUUUACUUUGUGCAACUGAAAACCUGGUAGCAUAUUUUGAAAUAUUUUCUUACUUGUUUUGAUGAGGACAGACUCAGAGUGAAGGACAUAAUGAUGCAAAGAAACGAAUAUUGACAAGAAAUGCCCCCUGUCGAAAGGACAAAAAGAAGCUUUUUUUUUAUUUUUUUCCUUCUUUUUUUUUUCCAUCAUUCUUUUCAAUAACUAGCCUUAAUGAUCAUGACAUACAUUUUGGACUUAACGGCCUGAUCUAUCCAACUAAUCCAAUCUUCCCGUUUACCAUUUUUAUGACCUUUGAAGUCGGGCUUGUUCGUGCCAAUCCUUGCAUCAGUUUCAUGACUUACUUUCGACUAGUGGUGCCCCGAGGAGUUUUCACCAACAAGACUUUCUCAUUUAUUUAUCUCUUCUUAUUGUUGCUUUACAGUGCCCAUGAGGGUUUUCACUAGUAAGACUCUCUUAUUUAUUUUUUUCUUUUUCCUGUGCUUUUUCUUUUUCUUUCCGCUUUUUUUUUUUGGAGAGCAACUUGAUAGUGUUCUAUGUCGCGUGACAUACGUUGCUCAUUGCCUGCGUUUCUUGGCAUUCUUGAAAGCUGAUCAUGAGGUAUUUAUUUGGAAGGUUUUUGGAUGUGGGUAGGAAGAAAGGGUCGGCAUGACGACUCAAAGUUGACUUAAAGUGAAGGGUUGUAGACUUACAACUUUUGGAAUCGUCUCAUCAAAAGUGAAAUAAAUUUUUUUUGCCCCACUUUUAACCAUUGGUGUUUUUGGAACAUUUCUCUCUUUUUUUUUUGUGAAUUCUUAUUUGGUUGGAUCGAAUUGUGAGGCUGCCUACGUAUCCUUUUUUUAAAGGAAUCAGGACUAACGUAGUUCAAACAUCCAACUUAAAGUAUAUUUCAUCUUUCUUUCCGCUUCUCUUUUCAUUUUUCUUUUUCUUUUUUUUUCUUUUUCUUUUUUGAUUUUUUAUUUUUAUUUUUAUUUUUAUUUUUUGCUUGCCCCAGCUUCUUUGUUUUGAGGGCAUGGACCUUUGAUAAUUCUUUCUUUUUGUUUUUCGCUUGGAACCUUCUAAAAGCUGCCCCAGUUUAUACUCUUGGGACAUGGACUUUCUUUCUUUUUUUUUCGUUUCUUUUCAUCUUUUUUUGACUCUUGACUCUAAACGUGAUUCCAAACGAGGGUGAUCAAAGAAAAUAAUACCGGAUUAAAAGGGGUUGCAAAGGAUAUGAAGUGUUUGGAUAACAGAAAAAGGGCCUCCUAGCCUCGACACUGCCAAUCAUAUUAUCUUUCACGACCGCAGCAUUGGUGAACAUGUUUAAUGUCUUGGUGUGUUGUGGCCGAAAGACACUUUUCAUCCCUUAAUGUCAAACUUUCCAAUAAACAUCAAUUGAUUAAAUAUUCUCAAGCCCGAUCUUCACAAUGAAUUGAAGGUGAAUUUUGCUCGACCUUAAUUCCCAAGUAUUUCAAGUCUUUAUUCAUCCUCAAAAGUGCUUCUUUUUUUUUCAGUUAUCCAAUUCCAGAUUAAAUGAGUUUCUAAGAUCUGGCCAAAAUUUCCGGAUGCAUUUCAUGUUAUUAAAACUAGCGCGAAAUAACUAAGAACGGAAUGCCACAAACUUCUCUUUUUUUCAGUUAUCCAAUUCCAAGUUAAAUCAGUUUCUAAGAUCUGGCCAAAAUUUCAGGAUGCAUGUCAUGUUAUUAGAACUAGCGCGGAAAGAACUAAGAACAAAAUGACACAAAAGGACAAACUGAAUUUUAUUGAAUAAGGAUGGAAUGGUAACGACUAAACAAGAAACCUAAGAUGAUCCGAGUUACAACCCUAAAAUAACCCGGAUAAUGAAAAUAGCAAUAAAAUAGACAGACAUGACUCAUACAAAUAAAAUAGAAGGAUAGAAGGGUCUGACUCAAUAAAGAAAAUAAAAUCUAGAUCAGAACCCUGAAAUAACCCAGAUAACAGAAAAACAUCAAAACAAGCUACCAAGAUUACCUCCUAAGACAUGAGGGAAUGACUUUUCAAUUGCUAAGCUUGACAUUGAGCCACAAAUUUGCUCAACGGAAUCACCAUGGCCUCCUCCAAUUUCAGACGGCAGGUUCUCGAGAGGAUUAUCAUACUCGAUGACACCAGACAUCAUCCUCACAAAGUAUGCAUCAUCAUGUGCAGGUAAAGGAUUCUGCAUGAUAUUCUGGGUGUCAUUGUCUUGAAUCACAAUCAGUUUUUCCUGGAUCAUCCUCUCUAUUUCUCUUUUCAAAUCCCGACAAAUUUCAACAUCGUGCCCCAGGGCAUCAGAAUGGUAUUCACACCUUUUAGAAGGGUCAAAGCUUCUUGCACGUGGGUCCACAUGAUUUUGAGAAAUGGGUGCAAUCAUGCCAUAAUGCUUUAGCUUCUCAAAUAAGCUUGCAUAAGACUCUCCUAUUGGUGUAAAAUUAUCCUUCAACCUUUGUUCCCUUCUAUGCCCCUGGGUUGGAUAGUGCAAUCAUGCCAUAAUGCUUUAACUUCUCAAAUAAGCUUGCAUAUGACUCUUCUAUUGGUGUAAAAUUAUAUUUCAACUUUUGUUCCCUUCUAUACCCCUGGCAUGGAUGUGGGUUAUAAGGCAUUUGAAAAUUUUGUGGAGGCUGGUGGAGAUAUUUUGAUCCUCGUGCUCGACUUCUUGGGUGAUUUGGUGCCUAGACAACAUACUGAGGUGGAUCAACAAGGUAUGGUGGGUUCUGAGGUGGAUAGUAAUGCUCAGGGGAGUCAUCGAAAACCUGAUGAGGCUACGCAUACCUUCGAGGUGUUCUCAUGGAACCUCUUCUCGACCCUGUUGUCAUCAUGAUUUCUUCAUCCGUCUCAUUUAUGUCACUUUUAUUCUUUUAUUCUUUUUUGACUUUUUUUCUUUUCUUUUUCUUUUUCAUUUUUUGACUCUUGACUCUAAACUUGAUUCCAAAAGAGGGUGGUCAAAGAAAAUAAUAUAUGUUCAAAGUGGUGACGAAUGGCAUAAAGUGUUUAGGUAGCAGAAAAAGGGCCUCCCAACCUUGAGAACGCCAAACAUAGUAUCUUUUUGCGAUCACAACAUUGAGGAACAUGUCUGUCAUCUUGGUGUGUUGCGGUCAAAAGACACUUUCCAUCCCUUAAUGUCAAACUUUCCAAUAGAUUUCAAUUGAUUAAACAUUCUCAAGCUCGAUCUUCAAAAUGAUUUGAAGGUGGAUUUUACUCGACCUUAAUUCUAAAGUAUUUUAACUCUUUAUUCAUCCUCAAAAGUGUUUUUUGUCUUUUCUUUUUCUGUUAUCCAAUUCCAGAUUAAAUAAGUUUCUACGAUCUUGCCAAAAUUUCCGCAUGCAUGUCAUGUCAUUAGAACUAGCAACAAAAGAACUAGGAAUAGAAUGACACGAAAGGAAAAACUGUAUUUUAUUGAAUAAAGAUGGAAGGUUUGACAAUUAAACAAGAAACCUAAAAUCCGAGUUACAAACCUAAAAUAAACCGAAUAAUAAAAAUAGCAACAAAACAGUCAAACAUGACUCCUACAAACAGAAUAGAAUGACAGAAGGGUUUGACUCAAUAAAAAAAAUAAAAUCUGGAUCACAACCCUGAAAUAACCUAGAUAGAAGAAAAAACAUCAAAACAAGCUAGCUUGAUUCCUUCCUGUAAAGAGAGAAUGACUUUUCAAUUUUUAAGCUUGACAUUUCACCACAAAUUUGCUCAUCAAAAUCACCAUGGCAUUCUCCCAUUUCAGCCGGCAAAUUCCCGAGAGGAUUCUCAUACUCCAUGUCACUACUCAUCACCCUUACAAAGUGUGCAUCAUCAUGUGCAGGUAAAGUACUCUGUGCGAUACUCUGGGUGUCACUGUUUUGGAUCAUAAUCAGGUUUUCUUGGAUCAUCCUUUCUAUUUCUCUUUUCAAAUCCCGAUAAUUUUCAAUAUUGUGCCCCUACGCAUUGGAAUGGUAUUCACACCUUUUGGAAAGGUCAAAGCUUCUUUCAAACAAGCUCGCAUAGGACUCUCCUAUUGGUGUAAAAUUAUCUUUCAACUUUUGUUCCCCUUUAUACCUCUGGCUUGGAUGUGGGUAAUAGGGCAAUUGAAGAUUUUGUGGAGGAUGGAGGAGAUUUUGUUGUACUCGCGCUCGCCUUCUGGGAUGUUAUGGUGGUCAGGCAUCAUAUUGAGGUGCAACAACAGAGUAUUGAGGGUUCUGAGGUGGAUAAUAUUGCUUAGGGGAGUCAUGAAAAACCUGAAGAGGCUGAUCAUAUCUUCGAGAUGUUCUCCUGGGAUCUAUUCUCGACCCUGAUGUCAUCAUGAUUUCUUCAACCUUCUCAUUCGAGUCACCAAAAUUACCAAAAUUAUCUGAUUCAAUCUAGUCAACCUGAGUUGUGGCUUUGAGAACUAGUUGACUUAUAAUUUUGCCUGUCUUAAGACCAUUCUCAACCAUUUCCCCCAUUUCGAGAAGGAUUUACCCACAGCGGAUAUCAUGUUUUGAAAAUAAUCCAGCUCUUGAGCCUGAGGAAAGACAGUGAUUAGCUCGUGGUCAUCCAUGGGUGGCUUAGAUCUAGCUUCUUGCUCUCUCUAUUUAAUAGCGUAUUCCCUGAAACUUUCACUUUGGUUUCUUCUUCAGGUUUGAAAGGGAAUUUCAGUUUGGGGCAAUGUCCAUGUCGUAUUGAAACUGUUUGACAAAGGCCUGCACCAUGCUAUCCUAGACGUACCAGCGAGAUGUGUCCUGAUCCAGAAACUAUUCAGAUAAUACUCCCGUAAGGCUUUCCCCAAAAUAAGUUAUUAGCAAUUCUUCAUUUCUUUCCACACCUCUCAGUUGAUUGCAAUACCUUUUUAGGUGGGACUAUGGGGUCUCCAUGUCUAUCAUACUUUUCAAAUUUGGGAGUCUUGAAACCAGGCGGCAAGUGGACAUCGGGGAACAUACAUAGAUGUUUGAAGGCAACACUAUUUUGACCUGCCAACCCUUACAUGUUUUCAACCGUUGUUCUAAGAUUUUCACUCUUUGGGUCAUUUCUCUAUAUUUCAUCUUUCGGGCAGGCUUCUCGAUGUUUGCAAGAAGAUCAAACGAGUACGAGUGAUAUUCAGGAGAGUGGUACUGCUCUUGCUGUGUUGCAAAUUGUGACUCAUGACAAGGUUCUCUUUGGCCAUUGGCCCAUGAUUGACACAUUUUGGUCAUUUGCUGUUUCAGUAUUCUAUUUUCCUCAACCAUAGUAGACUCUUGUCGAACCCUCUGACCGUGAGUCUCUUGAGCAAUUGUAACAGUCUUGAUGUCAAUUAUCAUUUUUUGUUGUAUCUUGUGUUUCAGCUUACCACAAACCAACCACCUCAAACUUUCUUCACAAUUCAAAACAAAAGAUAUGUUAGAAUGGACUCAGUCAUCCUUACUAUUAUCAAUAAUUUUUUUCCUUUUCUUCAUUUUUUCAUUUUUUUGUUUGGUUGAUCGAAUCUGAUAUGGGUUUCCUACGUGUCAUAUGGGAACAUGAAUCCGAUAUUGCGUAGUUCAGGAAGAUUAGGAAUAAAGGAAAUAAACUAAAUUUAUGUUUUUCUGGAUUUGGAAUUUUCUCUUCUAUUUUUUACUUUUUUUUUCAAAAGAAAGACUUAUAAAGAAGAUAGAGCAUAUUUUUGGAUUUUGAUUUUUCUUCAGUAAUUGCAAAGAAAGACUUCUAAAGAAGAUAUAUUUUUUUUUGAAUUUCGACUUUUUAUUGUUUUUUUUUUAAUUUCGAUAGAAAAAUUUCUAAAGAAGAAGGAAAGAUAUUUUUGCCUUUAUGGAUUUUUAUUCUGAAGUUAGGAAAGAAGUUCUUCGAAAGAAAAAGAAAGUAUUUUUAAAUCAUGAAUUUUCUUUUCAAUUUUCCGAAGAAGAAUAAAAAUAUGUUUUUGCAUUUUUUGAUUUUGAGAAGCAACUAAAAGAAAAAAAAUUUGAAUUUUUUUUUAAAAACUAGAAUCUUAAAGAAAAAUUUUUCUAAAGAAGGAAGUAAAAGAAUUUUUUUGGAUUUUUAAAAAUUGGGGCCGGAACCGAUGAGGUUUGCUUACGUAUCUCACAUCCGGUAAGAAUAAGAUCCGCGUAGUUCUGCCAGUUUUAACGGAACAGGAAAACAUGACACUUGAAAAUUUUGGUUCAUUUUGAAAUGACUUUUUUUUCCAGAUUUGGCAGAGUUUCAACAUAUUUCAAAUACCUACAUCUACUCUUUUCUUUUCUUUUUUCUCUUUUUUUUAAUUUUUUUUUAUUUUCUUUCCCUAUUCUAAUCAACAUGUAAGCCUGAACAGAUAGAUACACAAGUAGCACAUAAGAUGCAUCAGGAUGGUCUUUUAAUUUGGGUACACAUGUCCUAGACGGACCUAACCCAUGUGUUGAGUCCCCAAAGUCAAAUGUACGUGAUGCAAACAAACGUUCCUACAAGGAAUCCGGCAUGAGUCUGAGUUAUUCUAAGUAUAAAACCUGGGUAUACUGCUCUAGACUUGUGCACCCGAGCGGACAACUCGAGCCGAGGAGGGGGCUAUGUACCGGGAACCAAAAGGCUAUCCGGCUUAGUAACUUUUCUGAGCCUCUUUCUUAUUUCAAGUUAUGACACUAACAGAAUAAGGAGUCUCGACCAGCAAGCACAUCCCCAAAGAUGAGAAGAGAAGGAUUUCGUAGCAUUUUAUAUAUAGUUCAGAUAACAUUAAGGCGGUAAAAGCAUCAUUUAGCACAUCAGGCUCAAACAUGUAGGAAAAUCAUAUAAUAAAUAAAGCCAAUCAUAACAGCUAUUCUAAGCUCAAAUUCUUAAACUCUGAAUCGAAGUUUAGGGUUUGGAUCCCCAGCAGAGUCACUAGAGCUGUCACACCUCCUUUUUUCUACACCCUAGAAGGGGAGAUAAAGGAGUUUAUUCCAAUUUAAAGUGACAAAAAACAGAAUUAUUUUAUUUAAAAUUCAGAGUUGCCACUUGGAUAAUUUAUGGUUUCCCUGUCACCGGUAUAAAUCCCGAAUCGAAAAAAGAUUGACUUUGUUUUAUAGUCCGCGAACAUAGAAAUUUGGGUAAAGAAUUCUGUUAAGCGGUAGAAGGUGUUAGGCAUUCCCGGAUUCCGUGGUUCUAGCACGGUCCCUCAACUGUUAUAUUUGGCUUAAUUACCUUGAUUUUAAUACAUUUUAAACCUAUGUAAAAUUUUUAACUUUAUAACCGCUUUUAUUUAUUUUAAGGAAGAUUGCAACGUCAUUUAAAAUACGUUUUGAACCACGUCACAUAAAUGCACCCGCGGUCCCCGACAUAUUUUAUCUAACGUUGUUGAGAUUUGGAUUUGGAUCACAUAAAUGUGCACCCGAGUUUAGGAAGGUGAAUUGUUUAACUAAUGCGCCUAAAGCAAUUACGCGUUUUUUUUAAUUUUGUGAAGGCCAUGGAAGAUUCAACUAAAUGGCACAUCUCGAUUUCUAAAGGAUUAAAAUUAAUUAAACGAGGGCCAUGGGUUUUGAUAUUUUGUUUGGCAUGGUGCUCCUUAAAUUAUUUCAAAGGAUUUGAUUCUUCGAAAUUAUUAUGAUCGGGUUACAUAAAAUGCACCCCCGAAUUGGAUUCACGUAUCGUAACCAUGCCACGGAAACUGUACCCAUGACCAUGAUAAUUGAUUGAAUUAUACUAAUGAAAUAUAAAUAAGGAGUAGUUACAUAUAAUCAGAAUCAUGUCAUUGCUAACGAUUAUUGAAAUACUAAUGACAUCUAAUAAAAAGUAGUUUACAUAUAAUCAAAUCUCAUAGUUGUCCAGACAUGUUCGAAUAGAUUCAUUUAUACUAAUGACAUCUAAAUACAAAUGAUUUACAACCAGAAAGAAAUAGGCACGAAGAGAAAUCGAGGGAUUAAUUGCUGGCCCUCACAAUUUUGGAAUUGAAAAAUACUUGAUUCACAAUGGCGGAUACAUGUUGUCACAUGGGUUCUUAGCUUUUGAAAACAAGAUUACUACUUAUAUAUAACACACAAAAAGCCAAUUUAAUCAAGAUCUUAUCAGAUUUAUAUUAAGGUUUAAAUUUACACAAAAUACAAAGAUAGCAUUGUUCUACGUAGAACACAAUGGCAGGCCCAAGUAUACUAUCACAUUUAUAGCUUAUGAAUAAACCUCAACUUCAACAACAAUUGUAUUAAACAAUUAGUUUUUCCCUUCUCUUAGCUUCAAAGAUCAACAGCAUAGAGACGUUUGAAAAAACUUAAACAAAAAAAUGCUAGAUCUAUAAAAAAACAAUACAACAACUUACAUCUCAUUCAUGAUUUCUAUUUAAGACAAAGGGUAUAAGUGGACAUACCUAAACAGCAACAAAUAAAUCCUCAAUCUGAAAAGAAGAUGAUGAAACCCAGCUACAAAUGAAGCAAAAUUAGCAGGAGAAACAGCAACAGUCCUCAACUCAGCUUUUGAACGAACUAUUCUCGAAAUGACCUCAACUCGACCAAAUGCAAUCCAUUUUUGUAAAAGAAAAUCAAACAUCAAGAUGAACGAUGAAGAACAAAGAUAUCUUUGUCCCUAUAUUUCGUUUGAAACUUAAAUAAAAUUGGAGCGGCAGAUCGAAGCUUCUUUUUAUUUUCCUAAGAGAGGGAUCAGGUGGGGCUGUUGGUUGUUGAGGUUUCCUAGAGGGGAAAGGUUCUGUUCUUCUUUUGCGAUUUUUGACCGAGAAGAAGAUGGGAGCGCCCCCUUUUUUUUGUUCUUCAGAGAAGGGGAGGGUCUAUCUUAUUCUCCUUUUUUUUUCUCUAGGCCUAAAUCUAGGUUUUAAUAUAAAG
Molecule: long non-coding RNA, 23032 nt
Filed under: Nicotiana benthamiana
Lineage: Eukaryota; Viridiplantae; Streptophyta; Magnoliopsida; Solanales; Solanaceae
Description: long non-coding RNA (NBEN_LNC022166)
Source: RNAcentral